AAAACAGUCCACUUUGUGGCCUGUUAUCGGAAUGGGUACAAUUUAAAUCUUUUAACGAGGAUCUAUUAGAGGGCAAGUCUGGUGCCAGCAGCCGCGGUAAUUCCAGCUCUAAUAGCGUAUAUUAAAGUUGUUGUGGUUAAAACGCCCGUAGUUGGUUUUUCGGUCUCGAAGCUCGGUAGCUCGUAUGGGCUUAACUGAGUCUUCCGGCCUAAAUUUCUUGUACUCUCCCGAUGCUCUUUAUUGAGUGUCUCGAGAUGCUAGAACGUUUACUUUGAAAAAAUUAGAGUGCUAAAAGCAGGCUAUACGCUUGAAUAAAGUGCAUGGAAUAAUGGAAUAGGACUUUAGUUUUAUUUUGUUGGUUUUCGAAAUUAAAGUAAUGAUUAAGAGGAACAGACGGGGGCAUUCGUAUUGUUGCGUUAGAGGCGAAAUUCUUGGAUCGCAGCAAGACGAACAACUGCGAAAGCAUUUGCCAAGAAUGUUUUCAUUAAUCAAGGACGAUAGUUAGAGGUUCGAAGGCGAUCAGAUACCGCCCUAGUUCUAACCGUAAACUAUGCCAACUAGCGAUCCGUCGGUGUUAAAUAUUGACUCGACGGGCAGCUUCCGGGAAACCAAAGUUUAUAGGUUCCGGGGGAAGUAUGGUUGCAAAGCUUAAACUUAAAGGAAUUGACGGAAGGGCACCACCAGGAGUGGAGCCUGCGGCUUAAUUUGACCCAACACGGGGAAAACUCACCCGGCCAGGACACAAUAAGGAUUGACAGAUUGAUAGCUCUUUCUUGAUUUUGUGGGUGGUGGUGCAUGGCCGUUCUUAGUUGGUGGAGCGAUUUGUCUGGUUAAUUCCGAUAACGAACGAGACUCUAGCCUAUUAAAUAGGCGAUAUAUCUUAUUAGUAUAUCGAGCUUCUUAGAGGGACGAGCAGCUUCUAGCUGCACGAGAUUGAGCAAUAACAGGUCUGUGAUGCCCUUAGAUGUCCGGGGCUGCACGCGCGCUACAAUGAAAAUAGCAGCGCGUUUCGAAAACCUUUUCUGGAAAGUAUUGGUAAACGCGAAAUAUUUUCGUGAUUGGGAUAGGGGAUUGCAAUUAUUGCCCUUGAACGAGGAAUUCCCAGUAAAUUCGAGUCAUCAGCUCGAGUUGAUUACGUCCCUGCCCUUUGUACACACCGCCCGUCGCUACUACCGAUUGGAACAUUGCGUGAGAUCUUCGGACUGACGUCGAAACGAACGUAAAAAUUCGAUUCGCGCGUUGGAAAGAUGCUCGAAUGCAACGUUCUAGAGGAAGUAAAAGUCGUAACAAGGUUUCCGUAGGUGAACCUGCGGAAG
RNAcentral lists this ribosomal RNA (1316 nucleotides) under metagenome. RNAcentral's name for it is "SSU rRNA". It matches the Rfam family "Eukaryotic small subunit ribosomal RNA", at positions 482 to 1823 of the family's 1831-position model. The record is from RNAcentral.